CACUCGGCCCUCCGUGGAACCGGUUUGACACCUGUGGUCUAUGGUGCAGGACAUCCUGGGUUGCAUCCAUCCGAUUCAGGAGGUAGAUGGACCAGGAUAAGAAGCAUGAAGAACAGGUUCCACACUAACUGUUGAUCAGCCUGUAGCUGGUCUACAGGCACUGUUGGAGGUGUGACAGGCAAUAAUGUCCAGCAAGCUCUGACGUUGCAGACUACCAAAGGACAGACAAGGCCCAUUGCAACAAUUCUGGGACUGAUGUUAACAAAACAAGAUCUCUGCUCACAUCACCCUGUAAUUGGGGGAAACUGGAGAGUAGGCUGGCUUUUAGAGUUCUUUGCUAGUUAAAAUUCUCCAGGUAACAUCUUAAAUACUACUGUAAGUUGCUCUGUAAAAUACUGUCUGAUAAAUUACUCAAAUAUAAAAAUGUGUACAGACUGAUGGUGGGUGGGACAAUGAAUGCCAAAUAAAAAGGGCC
Long non-coding RNA from Esox lucius (northern pike), 475 nucleotides. NCBI's taxonomy places the organism in Eukaryota, Metazoa, Chordata, Actinopteri, Esociformes, Esocidae. The record is from Ensembl.